This 89-nucleotide unclassified non-coding RNA is filed under the name Pseudomonas moraviensis. The record is from RNAcentral. Lineage: Bacteria; Pseudomonadati; Pseudomonadota; Gammaproteobacteria; Pseudomonadales; Pseudomonadaceae.
UGUAGGAGUGAGCCUGCUCGCGAUAGCGGUGUGUCAGCCACCAUUUCGUUUGCUGAUACGCCGCCAUCGCGAGCAGGCUCACUCCUACA